AGAGUUUGAUCAUGGCUCAGGACGAACGCUGGCGGCGUGCUUAACACAUGCAAGUCGAGCGGAAGGCCCUUCGGGGUACUCGAGCGGCGAACGGGUGAGUAACACGUGAGUAAUCUGCCCUCCACUUUGGGAUAGCCCUCCGAAAGGGGGAUUAAUACCGGAUAUGACUCGUCCAGGCAUCUGGGUGGGUGGAAAGUUUUUCGGUGGGGGAUGUGCUCGCGGCCUAUCAGCUUGAUGGUGGGGUAAUGGCCUACCAUGGCUUCGACGGGUAGCCGGCCUGAGAGGGUGACCGGCCACACUGGGACUGAGACACGGCCCAGACUCCUACGGGAGGCAGCAGUGGGGAAUAUUGGACAAUGGGCGGAAGCCUGAUCCAGCAACGCCGCGUGAGGGAUGACGGCCUUCGGGUUGUAAACCUCUUUCAGUGCCGACGAAGCGAGAGUGACGGUAGGCGCAGAAGAAGCACCGGCCAACUACGUGCCAGCAGCCGCGGUAAUACGUAGGGUGCGAGCGUUGUCCGGAAUUAUUGGGCGUAAAGGGCUCGUAGGCGGUUUGUCGCGUCGGGAGUGAAAACACCGGGCUUAACUCGGUGCUUGCUUCCGAUACGGGCAGACUAGAGGUAUGCAGGGGAGAACGGAAUUCCUGGUGUAGCGGUGAAAUGCGCAGAUAUCAGGAGGAACACCGGUGGCGAAGGCGGUUCUCUGGGCAUGACCUGACGCUGAGGAGCGAAAGUGUGGGGAGCGAACAGGAUUAGAUACCCUGGUAGUCCACACCGUAAACGUUGGGCGCUAGGUGUGGGAUCCAUUCCACGGGUUCCGUGCCGCAGCUAACGCAUUAAGCGCCCCGCCUGGGGAGUACGGCCGCAAGGCUAAAACUCAAAGGAAUUGACGG
Molecule: ribosomal RNA, 891 nt
Filed under: uncultured bacterium
Lineage: Bacteria
Description: bacterial SSU rRNA
Rfam family: Bacterial small subunit ribosomal RNA
Source: RNAcentral